Lutra lutra (Eurasian river otter) is the source of this 579-nucleotide long non-coding RNA. RefSeq lists it as uncharacterized. The transcript has 3 exons. NCBI's taxonomy places the organism in Eukaryota, Metazoa, Chordata, Mammalia, Carnivora, Mustelidae. The record is from RefSeq and is a predicted model, not a curated record.
UGUUGCUCCCCACACACCGCAGGCGUCCGCUGGUCUCCCCGCCGGAGCCCGACAGCGCCUUCCACCCGGGUCCCCGCUUUUCCCGAUCGGAGAAUUACUUCAUGCCCAGCAACUUCAGGGGAAGAGAAAUAACAAGCCAGAAUGUCCAUUUAUUCAUCUACAACAAAAAAUGGGCCCGAUUUGAGAGCCGAGGCCGUCUACCCAGGACAUUCCCUCCUGCCAGGGAAGCCAAACUACCAGUUAUUGUGAAAGCAUUUGUUGAGAAGGAUGCACCACAACAUUGAACACCCCUGCAUUGCUAAUCCAACAAGAAGAGGACCGUGGUUCUAGAGCAUCUCUGAGAGCCACGGUAACAGACUUUGCCUGAGUGAAAAUAAGCUUUGCUGUGCUUCUUAGGAAAGUUCAGUAACCAUUCUACUAGAUCAUAACCACAGACGGUGCAUUGUUCACCUCUGUUUCUUGGCACCCGGCUCAGUGCCUGGCAUCGACCAGGUGCUCAGUUGAAUGUGUGACGCCUGAAUGUGUCAGGGAAUCCUGUGUUGCUAAAUAAACCACAAGUUUGGCUUUUGAUAAAGUAUG